Molecule: long non-coding RNA, 449 nt
Filed under: Rhinopithecus bieti (black snub-nosed monkey)
Lineage: Eukaryota; Metazoa; Chordata; Mammalia; Primates; Cercopithecidae
Description: lncRNA (ENSRBIG00000045384.1)
Source: RNAcentral
UGCCACCAUGUCUAGCUAAUUUUUAUUUUUGGUUUUGUUUUCUAGCGAUAGAGUUUAGCUGUGUUUCCCAAGCUGGCCUUGAACUCUUGAGCUCAAGCAAUCCACGCAUCUCGGUUUCCCAAAGUGUGAGCAUUACAGACAUGAGCUACCACAUCUGUCCUCUUAUUACAAUUUAGAGAAAUUAAAGCCUAGAUUUCAAUGGAGGUGACUCAAGACAAUCUACUGCAAGAUAGCUGCCAAUAUUCUCACAUUCUUGUAUAACUGUGAUAGUCAUUGAAAACUCUUCACAAAAUAUUUUUAUUCUCAUUCCAGGUGUGCUUCUGUUACUGGAAAGGGGUCCCAAUCCAGAAUCCAAGAGAGGGUUCCUGGAUCUCAUGCAAGAAAGAAUUUGGGGUGAGUCCAUAAAGUUAAAGCAAGUUUCUUAAGAAAGCGAAAGAAUAAAACAAUGG